This 495-nucleotide long non-coding RNA is filed under the name Brassica napus (rape). Its description in RNAcentral is "long non-coding RNA (BNAP_LNC012700)". The record is from RNAcentral. Lineage: Eukaryota; Viridiplantae; Streptophyta; Magnoliopsida; Brassicales; Brassicaceae.
CUGGUAACUUCGUCGUAAAUGGAAAAACGCGGGCCUGGUAACUUCUUCGUAAACGGAAAAGCCUGGUAAAUCGAUUCAACGUAAUUUCGUCGUAAAUAGAAAAACGGGGGCCUGGUAACUUCGUCGUAAAUAGAAAAAUGCGGGCCUUGUAACUUCGUUGUAAAUAGAAAAACGCGGGCCUGGUAACUUCGUCGUAAUUUUACGUCGCGUUUACGACGAAACGUUUUCUAUAUAUUGAGACGCCGAGAACGAGGCUGCCUCGUUCAUUCCUCCCAAACUCUUUUGCUCUCCCUCUAAGGUACACUCCCUUUCCUCUUCUAUUUUUUUUAAAGUUAGUUUAGGUGAUUAAUUAGUUAGGUAAUUAGUUUAGGUGAUUAGUUAGGUAAUUAGUUUAGGUAAUUAGUUAGAUGACGGAAUACUAUAGUUUAGGUGAUUAGUUAGGUAACAGAAUAUUUUUUUAAUUAUGUCGUCGUAAUUGAUUGAAUUUAUUUUAAU